CCUACGGGAGGCAGCAGUGAGGAAUAUUGGUCAAUGGACGAGAGUCUGAACCUGCCAAGUAGCGUGAAGGAUGACUGCCCUAUGGGUUGUAAACUUCUUUUAUAUGGGAGUAAAAUGUUCCACGUGUGGGACUUUGUAUGUACCAGAUGAAUAAUGAUCGGCUAACUCCGUGCCAGCAGCCGCGGUAAUACGGAGGAUCCGAGCGUUAGCCGGAUUUAUUGGGUUUAAAGGGAGCGUAGGUGGAUUGUUAAGUCAGUUGUGAAAGUUUGCGGCUCAACCGUAAAAUUGCAGUUGAAACUGGCAGUCUUGAGUACAGUAGAGGUGGGCGGAAUUCGUGGUGUAGCGGUGAAAUGCUUAGAUAUCACGAAGAACUCCGAUUGCGAAGGCAGCUCACUGGACUGCAACUGACACUGAGGCUCGAAAGUGUGGGUAUCAAACAGGAUUAGAUACCCGGGUAGUC
RNAcentral lists this ribosomal RNA (460 nucleotides) under uncultured bacterium. Its description in RNAcentral is "partial 16S ribosomal RNA". It matches the Rfam family "Bacterial small subunit ribosomal RNA", at positions 338 to 795 of the family's 1533-position model. The record is from RNAcentral.